GGAGAGGUGUCUGAGUGGUUUAAAGUACUGGUCUUGAAAACCAGCGUAACUUACGUUACCGAGGGUUCAAAUCCCUCCUUCUCCA
RNAcentral lists this transfer RNA (85 nucleotides) under Colacium vesiculosum. Its description in RNAcentral is "tRNA-Ser". It matches the Rfam family "tRNA". Rfam says of the family: Transfer RNA (tRNA) molecules are approximately 80 nucleotides in length. Their secondary structure includes four short double-helical elements and three loops (D, anti-codon, and T loops). Further hydrogen bonds mediate the characteristic L-shaped molecular structure. tRNAs have two regions of fundamental functional importance: the anti-codon, which is responsible for specific mRNA codon recognition, and the 3' end, to which the tRNAs corresponding amino acid is attached (by aminoacyl-tRNA synthetases). tRNAs cope with the degeneracy of the genetic code in two manners: having more than one tRNA (with a specific anti-codon) for a particular amino acid; and 'wobble' base-pairing, i.e. permitting non-standard base-pairing at the 3rd anti-codon position. The record is from RNAcentral. Lineage: Eukaryota; Euglenozoa; Euglenophyceae; Euglenales; Euglenaceae.